UUUAUUUUUUUCCUUUUGAUUUGUAGAACAACUCUUUCCUUUUGAUUUGUAGAACAACUUCACAUAGAAGAUUUGGAGAACUUGUUGCACGAGAGCUUGCUACUUACUUUCAACACAGAUAUUGAAGAUGGCAGCAUUGAGGAAGUCGCGGAGCAAUUGAUGAUUAUUCAUGAAGAAUUCUUGCAAGGAAGUUAUGCAUUAAUGAACAAAAGAGUAAUUGAAAUCAAAAACCUUAGAAGAACAAGUUCAUCUUCAUAGUUCACAGGUACAGGUAGCAUGCCGCCUCUAAGGACAUAGCUUGGGAGGCUAGGGGCAGGACAUACUUU
This is a non-coding RNA of Camellia sinensis, 326 nucleotides long. The record is from RefSeq and is a predicted model, not a curated record. NCBI's taxonomy places the organism in Eukaryota, Viridiplantae, Streptophyta, Magnoliopsida, Ericales, Theaceae.